Molecule: unclassified non-coding RNA, 405 nt
Filed under: uncultured Pseudoalteromonas sp.
Lineage: Bacteria; Pseudomonadati; Pseudomonadota; Gammaproteobacteria; Alteromonadales; Pseudoalteromonadaceae
Description: partial 16S-23S ribosomal RNA intergenic spacer
Rfam family: Bacterial large subunit ribosomal RNA (bases 282-405)
Source: RNAcentral
CCUCCUUAUACGAUUUAGAACUUAUUUGUUCGUAGUGUCCACACAGAUGAUUGUUAGUUAGCUAAGCCACUGGCUUACCUAAUUAAUAUGCUCUUUAAAAAUUUGGUAAAGCUGAUAAUAAAAUUCGUAUAGAUAACAGUUGUUAUUUAUACAGAGUUUUCAAAAGUAAAAAAAUGCCAUUGAUUAUUCAAACGAAUAAUGAAUUGGUAUCUACUUUAGUAUUCAAUAUUAACUUCUGGCGAAGUUAAACUGUCACUAACAAAGACCCGUUUGGGUUGUAUGGUUAAGUGACUAAGCGUACACGGUGGAUGCCUUGGCAGUUGGAGGCGAUGAAGGACGUAUUAACUUGCGAUAAGCCUAGUCAAGCUAGUAAAAAGCGCUUGAGACUAGGAUUUCCGAAUGGGA